Molecule: ribosomal RNA, 153 nt
Filed under: uncultured bacterium
Lineage: Bacteria
Description: partial 16S ribosomal RNA
Rfam family: Bacterial small subunit ribosomal RNA
Source: RNAcentral
UGGGGAAUUUUGCGCAAUGAGGGAAACCCUGACGCAGCAACGCCGCGUGGAGGAUGAAGUCCCUUGGGAUGUAAACUCCUUUCGACCAAGACGCCUUCGGGUUAAUAACCUGGGGGAGUGACGGUACCGAGAGAAGAAGCCCCGGCUAACUCC